This 238-nucleotide long non-coding RNA is filed under the name Capsicum annuum. RNAcentral's name for it is "long non-coding RNA (CANN_LNC017370)". The record is from RNAcentral. Lineage: Eukaryota; Viridiplantae; Streptophyta; Magnoliopsida; Solanales; Solanaceae.
GGCAUAAGUCUAUCAUGGGUCGAUCCCAGUUGAUAUGUUCUGGAGGCAGCCUAAUGGUCACAGUACAGUACAGUAAUGAUUACAAAGAUGAUAAGAACGAAGGUAAAGUGAUUGAAUAAAUACAAUGUACAAGUUGUCACAAGUUCUAGUAAGUGUGGUCCACUCCUAUUACGAUUUAUUCACUUGUUUCUGAUUUCUAUUGAACUCCUAUAUCAUAUGUGAUUAUCUACAGCUUUAC